Molecule: ribosomal RNA, 855 nt
Filed under: Triticum aestivum (bread wheat)
Lineage: Eukaryota; Viridiplantae; Streptophyta; Magnoliopsida; Poales; Poaceae
Description: partial small subunit ribosomal RNA
Source: RNAcentral
AUGAUGUCUUUUGACUUCAUAUUUAUUCUGCAUGUCAUGAAAGAACUUAUGGGAAUCACGGACAUGCUAUGCAAAAAGUUGCAACAAAAGUCUCAAGAUAUUGUGAAUGCCAUGGAUGAUGUUAAGACUACCAAAAUGUUGAUCCAGGAGCUAAGAGAUAAUGGUUGGAACAAGCUUAAAGCUGACGUGCUUUCAUUCUGUACCAAACAUGGAGUUCAAACACCACAUUUCAGUGAGUUAUAUGUGGAUUUCAUUAAUUCUCGUGCGGAGGAUGAGACUACAGUUGAGCACCAUUAUCGCUGUGACAUUUUCAUGGUUGCUGUUGAUCAGCAAGCACAAGAGCUGAAUUGUAGAUUCAACAAACAAGCUACAGAGCUUCUCAUCCUGUGUACUUCCUUGGACCCAAAAGAUUCAUUCCGUUCAUUUAACAUUGAUAAUAUAUGUUCUCUAGCUUCAAAGUUCUAUCCUGCUGAUUUUAAAGAACAAGAAAUGAAUAAUCUAAGAUGUCAGUUACGACAUUACGAGAAUGUUGUACCCACAAGCCCAAAGUUUCAGAAUUUGACAACUAUAUCAGAACUUUGUCAACGACUUGCAUCUAGUGGAAAAUCAGAUGAAUAUUACUUGAUUGACAGACUCAUUCGGCUUGUUCUUACUUUACCGGUUUCAACGGCAACUACAGAACGUGCAUUUUCUGCCAUGAAACUUGUGAAGACAAGGCUUCGGAAUAAAAUGGAAGAUGGAUUUCUAAGGGACUGCUUGCUAAUUUAUAUUGAAAAGGAGAUUGCUGUUGGAAUAUCAACAGAUGCAAUUAUAGAUGAGUUCGAUGAACCACCACGUCGAGUGCCAUUUAGUUGA